Molecule: long non-coding RNA, 3084 nt
Filed under: Orbicella faveolata
Lineage: Eukaryota; Metazoa; Cnidaria; Anthozoa; Scleractinia; Merulinidae
Description: uncharacterized LOC110054122
Source: RNAcentral
ACUUAAAAUCAGUAGACUGAAUUCAUUACAUUUAAUAUUAUAGUUACUGUAAUAACUAAUCAAAUGUUUUGUUAUAUGUACAUAGGUUAAGUAAAAUCUCUCCAAGCAAACAAUUCUUAAAGGAAAUGGUAGAUGAUGUAACUAUUAAAAUGAAACAAAAUGAUUUCCACAAUAAUGAUAAGAUGAGGAAUGAUUCAAUGCUGAAAGGCAUAGAAAAACCAUUCAAUUAUUUUUACUUGCAAAAGAAAAUCACUAACAUGAAUGAGCUGCACUAGUGUGCCAUAUUGGUCUUUUUUUUCACUUUGUUGCUGGACUUUGUUUAGCCAUAACAUACUGAAUGGUAGCCAAUCACCAGAUUUUAAACGCAAAAUAUGCUUCAACUGUGCCCAAGACAAGAAGGAAGAACGAGAAAGAAGUGGUGCUGACAGCAAUGGACUCUAUAGGUUGGUGGCCAUGAUUGACUCUUGCCAUCAUCUUCAUGUGGCUUGAAGUUUUUCAUGGCCUUUGCCCCUGUGUGGCACUGCUUUUAACUUGGAGCAAUUUUUGUAACCUGUCAAAACAUUUGUCUCUGUUCAUCAAUACCUGAGAGAAAGCACUUUUAAAGAUUUUGCAAAUCCCAAUUUGGGAACUUAUAUGGUGUCAAACAUAGCACACUGGUAUUGGCAAAAAGAGUUCUUAGUUUUGAUAUUUCAUAAAUAUUGCUGAAACUUCAAUCCAUACUUCUAGUUAAUGAUGCAGGACUUGAGAAUGUCUUCACAUAUUAAAUUCUCAUUAAUAAAAGGUCUAUAUUUCUGCAAAAUCUGAUUUUGCAUUGCAACUCUUUAUGUUCUACUAUGAACUGCCAGAAUUUAAGUAUUGUUGAGCCACAACGUGUGGAAACCAUAGAAGCCAAUGAAACUGAAUGACAAUCGGUAUGGAGAAUCGCUAUUCCAGUUCUGACACUGGGUAAGAUAAAACUGAAUGAUAAUCAGUAUGGACAAUUGCUAUUCAGUUCUGACACUGAACAAGAUAAAACUGAAUGACUCAGUAUGGAGAAGCACUAUUUGAGCUCUGACACUGGACAAGAUAAAACUGAGCGACAAUCAGUAUGGACAGCAAUUACUAUUUCAGUUCUGCUGCUGGACAAGAUAACACGGAAUGGCAAUCAGUAUGGAGAUUUACUAUUUCAGUUCUGCCACUGGACAAGAUUAAACUGAAUGACUAAGUAUGGAGAAUUACUUACAGUUCUGACACUCACUGGACAAGAUAAAAACACUCAGUCACUAUGGAGAAUCAACUCUUCAGUUGUAACAGUGGACAAAAUAAAGCUGAAUAAAAAUCAUUAUGGAGAAUUACUAUGUCAGUUCUGACACUGGACAAGAUAAAGCUAAAUGGCAAACAGCAUGGACAAUUGCUAUUUCACUUCUGACACUGGACAAGAUCAAACUGAAUGACAAUCAGUAUGGAGAAUUACUAUUUCAAUUCUGACACUGGACAAGUUAAAGCUAAAUGGCAAGCAGCAUUGACAAUAUUAUUGCUAUUUCAGUUCUUACACUGGACAAGAUCAAACUGAAUGACAAUCGGUAUGGAGAAUUAUUACUUCAGUUGUGACACUGGACAAGAUCAAACUGAAUGACAAUCAGUAUGGAGAAUUACUAUUUUAGUUCUGACACAAGACAAGAUGGAACUGAGUGACAAUCACUCUGGAGAAUUACUAUUUCAGUUUGGGUACUGGACAAGAUAAAGUUGAAUGAUAAUCAUCAUGGGGAAUUACUACAUCAGUCAUGACACUAAACAAGAAAAAAAGGAAUGACAAGCAGUAUGGAGGAUUACUGCCUCAGUUCUAACACCAAACAAGGUAGGGCGAGGAAUAGUCAAGAAAGUGAACAGUGACAAAGCACUGCAGCAAAAUUCUGGCUACAAGACAAGUGCAGAAUCAUUUCUGAAUUUACUAUUUCACUCCUGACACUGGACAAGGCAGGAUGAGCAAUAGUCAAGAAAGUGAAAUAUGACGGAGCACCACAGCAAAGAUCUGGCUCCAAGACAAGUGCAGGAACACUUAAGAAUAAAUGCUUUGAACUAAGCAGUAAAACUUGAAGAAAAAAAUUCAUUUUAAUGUACAUCUUUCAAUCCUGACAUGGUCAUGUAGAUAUGUCUAUAUUAAUAUCAUGUUUGAGAACUGAAUGGCAAGGAGAUUUUCGCAGUAAACGAAAGUAAACUUCACUGAUGUAAAGAAGGCGCUAAGAGCAAAUUAAAGACUACACUCCAAUAAGCUCUUAAAACCUUCCUAUAAUAAAUAACAACCAGAAACGUAAACAUGGAAAAACAAGUGAGCCGCAAAACCUUAAUGUGGUUGAACUUGUGUCGUUGUCCUUUACUUCUCUAUAUAAAUUUGGAUUACUCCUAUCAACAUUCCCCUCUCCCAAAGCUGCCAGUAAUGCCGAGAUGGUUAAUCCCAUAGUGAGUAAAGGCUUACAUUCAAUAUCCUGCUCUGUCCUAAAGAAGAAAAUUGAGAGAGUUUAACACCCCUCCACAAUCCUGUUUUCUUCUAGAGGGAAUUGUGGAAUGGAGUUAAAAUCUCAUAAACAAUUUUCCUUCUUUCCUGAGAACAUCAAGCCUGGUGGUUUGCCUCCAAUUUAAAAUCCUCUACUUUCCUCCGAGCAAAGAUCAUUCAAAGAGCUGUAAUUUCUGUCCCCAACCCCCAUGAACCUCACCUGAAUGAAUAAUUGUCAAUGAAAUCCACAUUCCUCUACUUCCCCAGGGUAAAGAUUUAAAGAGUAAGUUUAACUAUAACCAACAAUCCUUCAAUCAUCCUUUUUCAGAGCACCUUCCUGCCAAACUAAUUUCCUCCACAUUGGUAUAAGAGACUACUCAAAUACUAAAGGGUUUACGAUCCUCCGAUUAGAGUGGUUUUACUUAACCUGUGAAAUAGAUAGUGGAAUUGUACACGCCACAACUUCGUAUUAGUUCCUACUAUCCCCCUGUAGUUAGUAUUUCUUUUGUUUUCUACCCUUUGGUUUCCUAUACCACCCACUAAUACUAACUGGCAGAAAAUAUUACACACUAACGAGUAGUUUCCGUUUCACAGAAUGACAAAAAUCACUC